GGCCGGCUGGCCUAAUGGUUAAGGCGUCAGUUUCCGGUAUGGAAUCAGCUGAAGAUUCUGGGUUCGACUCCCAGGUUGGUCG
Non-coding RNA from Polyporus arcularius HHB13444, 82 nucleotides. Lineage: Eukaryota; Fungi; Basidiomycota; Agaricomycetes; Polyporales; Polyporaceae. The record is from the annotation of a GenBank genome assembly.